RNA transcript from Selaginella moellendorffii, 942 nucleotides. RefSeq lists it as uncharacterized. The transcript has 6 exons. NCBI's taxonomy places the organism in Eukaryota, Viridiplantae, Streptophyta, Lycopodiopsida, Selaginellales, Selaginellaceae. The record is from RefSeq and is a predicted model, not a curated record.
UGUUAGGGCUAGUUCGUUACUUUGUUCUUCAUGGCGCCCAAGCCCAAGGGCGAGGAGCCCCCGCCGCCGCCGCCAGAGGAAGUGAAGGAGGAUCCCAAGAUCGCCCUGCGGAAGCAGAUUGAAGCGCAAGAGCGCGACAUCUUCCAUCUAAAGCAUCUGUUGGAGGCGUUGGUGGAUGGAGAGGGCCACAGCCUUCGGGACGCCAAGAUUUUGGAGCUCUUCAAGAAGAAUCGGGAGCUUAACCUGGCAUAUGAGCGAGAGAGAAAUUCCUCGUCCAAGCUUAAGUUUCAAGUCGGGCAACUGCAGCAAGAGGUCUUGAAAAGAAGGAACAAACUCUACAAAGGCAAUGCUGAAACUCUCCAGAAAACCAAUGCAGAAGUUCCCGAACAAACAAAUCCAGAAGUGUCUCAGCAAACCAAUCCGGCAGAUGGUGUUAAGAACGCACAACAACAAGACGAACAAAAGAAAUCAGAGCAACCGGAAGGACAACAGGGAGAACAACAAGGGACUGUAGAGGAAUCAAUACAAGAAGCCAAAGCCGAGAUUGCAACACCUGAAGAACCGUGGAAGGAAAAAUUCGAUCAGGUUGCCCUCAAGCUUGCCGAGGCCCAAUCUGUACACACAGGCCUCACAAUGGAGGUUUCUAAGCUUCGCUACGCGCUGCAACGUGAAGUUGGCGAACACAUACCUGUAGCAAAGGUCUUUGCACUUGCACAUCGGUAUGAUCUCUUCGAUCCUGAAGAUGCUCUUUGGUGUUAAGUGUUGAACAAGGUUUUGGAAGAAGGCGGUGAAUGGAAAGGCCGAAGUCAGCAGAUUUCUCUUCUCAAGGACAAAGUGCGCGAGCUAAAAGCAAAGCUGCACCGGUCGGAGUCCGAAGAGUUUCAGCGUUUUCAAAUUGAAGCUUUCCAUGCUGCGCGCAGGAAAGAGUUUGAGAAGCUGGCA